CUUGCAUCAUGAUUUACAUUUGAGUGAGUGGCGAACUGGUGAGUAACACGUGGGAAACCUGCCCAGAAGCGGGGGAUAACACCUGGAAACAGAUGCUAAUACCGCAUAACAACUUGGACCGCAUGGUCCGAGCUUGAAAGAUGGCUUCGGCUAUCACUUUUGGAUGGUCCCGCGGCGUAUUAGCUAGAUGGUGGGGUAACGGCUCACCAUGGCAAUGAUACGUAGCCGACCUGAGAGGGUAAUCGGCCACAUUGGGACUGAGACACGGCCCAAACUCCUACGGGAGGCAGCAGUAGGGAAUCUUCCACAAUGGACGAAAGUCUGAUGGAGCAACGCCGCGUGAGUGAAGAAGGGUUUCGGCUCGUAAAACUCUGUUGUUAAAGAAGAACAUAUCUGAGAGUAACUGUUCAGGUAUUGACGGUAUUUAACCAGAAAGCCACGGCUAACUACGUGCCAGCAGCCGCGGUAAUACGUAGGUGGCAAGCGUUGUCCGGAUUUAU
Molecule: ribosomal RNA, 500 nt
Filed under: Lactiplantibacillus argentoratensis
Lineage: Bacteria; Bacillati; Bacillota; Bacilli; Lactobacillales; Lactobacillaceae
Description: bacterial SSU rRNA
Rfam family: Bacterial small subunit ribosomal RNA
Source: RNAcentral